RNAcentral lists this non-coding RNA (858 nucleotides) under Pongo abelii (Sumatran orangutan). Lineage: Eukaryota; Metazoa; Chordata; Mammalia; Primates; Hominidae. The record is from RNAcentral.
ACUGUCCUCCUGUCUUCUGUGGCAUCCUUUGCCUUGCAGCCACAGCCCAGCUAGCCCAGGCCAAGGGAGUCUGACCCCCACCCCGAAGCACAGGGAAGUUGCUGCCCUUUCCCGCAGUGACAGAAAUCCUCUCAAGGGCUCUGGAAGGCAAGGAUGCGGCCAUCCCUGGAGACGCCAAGGACCAUCAUGUGAGGUGGCUUUUAUCCUCCUCGCCCCUACUGGUACAGAUGAGAAGAAACUGCGACUCAGAAGUUAAGCAUUUUCCCAUGGUCACCGGGCUACACAGAAAGGCCAGGAUUUGAACCCAAGCUUCUGCUUCCACCCAUCUUCAUUAGGAGUCAAGUUAUACUGUGGGUCUCAACCAUGGCUGCUCACUGGAAUCACCUGGAAGCUUCCCAAGUACUGAUGUCUGUGUCCCCAGCCCAGAGGUUCUGAUAUCAUUGUCUGGGUGUGGCCUAGCCUUAGAUCUGCAAAAGCUCCCUAGGCAGUUCCACUGCAUGAAGUUGAGAACCACUGAUACAGAGUGACCUCACCUCCCCACCCCCAAUGGAGGUGCUAUGGUUUGAAGAGCAAAACUCAUGUUGAAAUUUGACUGUUCUUGCACCUCCUGCAGAGCCUGGGAGCUCCCAGUCCAGCCAAGGAUGUUGGAUCUCAUGGUCCUAAGUACUUCUUUGACACCCCAUUCCCCUCAGUAAAAUAGUUUGACCCCUUCUCCGCCAAAAAAAAAAAAAAGAAAUGUAAUUGCCAUGAUGAUGGUAUUAAAAGGUGGGACCUUUAAGAGGUGAUUAGGUUAUGAGGGUUCAGCCCUCAUGAAUGGAUUAAUGCCGUUAUCUUGGGAGUGGAUGAGUUCUCCCAGGA